AGAGUUUGAUCAUGGCUCAGAUUGAACGCUGGCGGCAGGCCUAACACAUGCAAGUCGAGCGGAAACGAGUUAUCUGAACCUUCGGGGAACGAUAACGGCGUCGAGCGGCGGACGGGUGAGUAAUGCCUAGGAAAUUGCCCUGAUGUGGGGGAUAACCAUUGGAAACGAUGGCUAAUACCGCAUAACACCUACGGGUCAAAGAGGGGGACCUUCGGGCCUCUCGCGUCAGGAUAUGCCUAGGUGGGAUUAGCUAGUUGGUGAGGUAAUGGCUCACCAAGGCGACGAUCCCUAGCUGGUCUGAGAGGAUGAUCAGCCACACUGGAACUGAGACACGGUCCAAACUCCUACGGGAGGCAGCAGUGGGGAAUAUUGCACAAUGGGCGCAAGCCUGAUGCAGCCAUGCCGCGUGUGUGAAGAAGGCCUUCGGGUUGUAAAGCACUUUCAGUCGUGAGGAAGGUGGUAGUGUUAAUAGCAUUAUCAUUUGACGUUAGCGACAGAAGAAGCACCGGCUAACUCCGUGCCAGCAGCCGCGGUAAU
This 537-nucleotide ribosomal RNA is filed under the name uncultured bacterium. RNAcentral's name for it is "bacterial SSU rRNA". It matches the Rfam family "Bacterial small subunit ribosomal RNA", at positions 8 to 524 of the family's 1533-position model. The record is from RNAcentral.